GGACUACUGGGGUUUCUAAUCCUGUUCGCUCCCCUAGCUUUCGCACCUGAGCGUCAGUUACCAGCCAGGACACUGCCUUCGCCUUUGGUAUUCCUCCGGAUAUCUACGCAUUUCACCACUCCACCCGGAAUUCUAUGUCCCUCUCUGGUCCUCAAGUGUCCCAGUUUUCAGAGGCCUUGCUCAGUUAAGCCGAGCACUGUCACUCCAAACUUAAGACACCGCCUGCGUGCGCUUUACGCCCAAUAAAUCCGGACAACGCUUGCCCCCUACGUAUUACCGCGGCGGCUGGCAC
This 292-nucleotide ribosomal RNA is filed under the name uncultured bacterium. RNAcentral describes it as "partial 16S ribosomal RNA". The record is from RNAcentral.